CAUUUUAAUUAACCAAUUUCUCUCCUUGCAUCCCUCUCGGGUAUGACAAGGGACAUUCUCCUUUGUUGAUAUCAAGCAACCCCUCUCGGGUGUAGUACUGAACUACCUAAGUCAUGCAUUUCAAUCCGAUUAGGAAUCUAAUGCAUUACCCUAAGUGCAUAAAGCUUGGAGAUGAAGAAAUUAUGCAAACCAACCAAGCUUAUCUCUAAGUGAUUGUAGCUCACAACCCUAACAUGCACAUAUGAUAUGCUAUCAUGCUUCAAACAACUAAGGUUAAUCAAGCCCUAAUUAUUUCUCAUGUCAUGGCAAACAAACAUACCCAAAUUGAUUAAGUUCAAGCAUGAAAGUUCAACUCUUGAUCUAGCAUAUUAAGGUGCUAAUGAAAAGUGCAUCAAACACAAUAUAUACAUCAAUGUCAUACAAGAUUGGCUAGGGCUUUCAACCCUAGCCCCAACAAACUAACUACUCACUCAUAAUCAAAUAUACAAGCUUCAACAUGUUAAUGAACAUCAAAGUAAAAGUAAGGGAAGAGAGGUGACUAGAGAUGCUCAAGUUGAGGAUGGAGUGGAUGAACUCAUGGAAUCCUUGUCAAGGGAUGAUGGAGAUGAUGGUGAUGUCCUCACUUGAUCCUAGACUCCCCUUCCUUCUCCUUGCUUGAUGAUGGAGGAUGUAAUGGAUGGAGAUGGCAAAUGAUGAAGCUUUGUGUAUAUGGAGUGAGAUGAGUAGAAAGGAAAAGUGAUGAAUUUGGUGAUGGUGGUGAUGGAAGUUAUUGUUUGAAUGUGGUGGAGAUGGAGGUUUUGUGGAGGAGUGGUGGUGGUUCUCUAAUGGAGAUUUGAGAGAGAAAAAUGGGGUAGAGUGUAGUGGGAGAUGGUGUUUCAAAAAUGGGGGAGAGAAACUUAAAUAAAGAUGAAAGAUGGAGCAAAAGUGGGGAGAGAAAACCAAAAAUCAGAUUUUCUCCUCCUCCCAUCCAUUUGAAUCCCCAAGCUUGAGUGUGAAAAUAGCCAUAAUUUCCCCAAAAAGCAAGCAAAAGGUGAUAGAGGAGAGAAGUGAUAGGCUAAUAGGUAAUGAUGGGAAAAAUGGUGUAGGAAAAAGUGGUGUAACACAAAAACAUGAAAGAUAUAUGUAUGGAAUUAUGAUGGACUUCUGGGUAAAAUAGGGAAGUGAUGAUUAUGGUGGGAAAGAGUGAAAUGUGUUGGAGUUGAAAUCUAACCAAAAGGUUAAGAACUAGUUGUGAUAGAACAAGACUUCUCCACCUUUCCUCUUCCAUGAAAUUGGCCGGAAAAUGUAUGGCACCACCAAAAGUGGUGGUGCGCCGCCACUUGU
This 1323-nucleotide long non-coding RNA is filed under the name Fragaria vesca (wild strawberry). RNAcentral's name for it is "long non-coding RNA (FVES_LNC004595)". Lineage: Eukaryota; Viridiplantae; Streptophyta; Magnoliopsida; Rosales; Rosaceae. The record is from RNAcentral.